AAGUCGUAACAAGGUUUCCGUAGGUGAACCUGCGGAAGGAUCAUUAACACGUAUCCAACGUUAAAAACCCCGUGCCCACAAAACGAACAACUGUUAACAAUGGAUAUCUUGGUUCUC
Molecule: unclassified non-coding RNA, 117 nt
Filed under: fungal sp.
Lineage: Eukaryota; Fungi
Description: partial internal transcribed spacer region
Rfam family: Eukaryotic small subunit ribosomal RNA (bases 1-46)
Source: RNAcentral